CCUANGGGAGGCUGCAGUGGGGAGUAUUGGACAAUGGGCGCAAGCCUGAUCCAGCAAUGCCGCGUGAGUGAAGAAGGCCUUAGGGUUGUAAAGCUCUUUCGCGCGCGACGAUAAUGACGGUAGCGCGAGAAGAAGCCCCGGCUAACUCCGUGCCAGCAGCCGCGGUAAUACGGAGGGGGCUAGCGUUGUUCGGAUUUACUGGGCGUAAAGGGCGCGUAGGCGGUGCCGUAAGUCAGGCGUGAAAGGCCCAGGCUCAACCUGGGAAUGGCGCUUGAUACUGCGACGCUAGAGGACGGGAGAGGAUGGUGGAAUUCCCAGUGUAGAGGUGAAAUUCGUAGAUAUUGGGAAGAACACCAGUGGCGAAGGCGGCCAUCUGGCCCGUUGACUGACGCUGAGGCGCGAAAGCAUGGGGAGCAAACAGGAUUAGAUACCCCUNUANUC
This 441-nucleotide ribosomal RNA is filed under the name uncultured bacterium. Its description in RNAcentral is "bacterial SSU rRNA". It matches the Rfam family "Bacterial small subunit ribosomal RNA", at positions 338 to 795 of the family's 1533-position model. The record is from RNAcentral.